UACGUAGGCAGCAAGCGUUGCUCGGAGUUACUGGGCGUAAAGGGUGUGUAGGCGGUUGUUUAAGUUUGGUGUGAAAUCUCCCGGCUCAACUGGGAGGGUGCGCCGAAUACUGAAUGACUAGAGUGCGGGAGAGGAAAGUGGAAUUCCUGGUGUAGCGGUGAAAUGCGUAGAUAUCAGGAGGAACACCGGUGGUGUAGACGGCUUCUGGACCGUAACUGACGCUGAGACACGAAAGCGUGGGUAGCAAACAGG
Molecule: ribosomal RNA, 252 nt
Filed under: uncultured bacterium
Lineage: Bacteria
Description: partial 16S ribosomal RNA
Rfam family: Bacterial small subunit ribosomal RNA
Source: RNAcentral